RNAcentral lists this ribosomal RNA (430 nucleotides) under Pseudomonadota bacterium. Its description in RNAcentral is "Proteobacteria bacterium partial 16S ribosomal RNA". It matches the Rfam family "Bacterial small subunit ribosomal RNA", at positions 355 to 776 of the family's 1533-position model. Lineage: Bacteria; Pseudomonadati; Pseudomonadota. The record is from RNAcentral.
UGGGGAAUAUUGGACAAUGGGGGGAACCCUGAUCCAGCCAUGCCGCGUGUGUGAAGAAGGCCUUAUGGUUGUAAAGCACUUUAAGCGAGGAGGAGGGUACUGGCAUUAAUACUACCAGGUACUGGACGUUACUCGCAGAAUAAGCACCGGCUAACUCUGUGCCAGCAGCCGCGGUAAUACAGAGGGUGCGAGCGUUAAUCGGAUUUACUGGGCGUAAAGCGUGCGUAGGCGGCUAAUUGAGUCGGAUGUGAAAUCCCCGAGCUUAACUUGGGAAUUGCAUUCGAUACUGGUUAGCUAGAGUGUAGGAGAGGAUGGUAGAAUUCCAGGUGUAGCGGUGAAAUGCGUAGAGAUCUGGAGGAAUACCGAUGGCGAAGGCAGCCAUCUGGCCUAACACUGACGCUGAAGUACGAAAGCAUGGGGAGCAAACAGG